UACAGAGGGGGCAAGCGUUAUUCGGAAUUAUUGGGCGUAAAGGGCGCGUAGGCGGCCUGGCAAGUGGAAGGUGAAGUCCCUCGGCUUAACCGAGGAACUGCCCUCCAAACUGCUUGGCUUGAGUCCGGGAGAGGUGAGUGGAAUUCCCAGUGUAGCGGUGAAAUGCGUAGAUAUUGGGAGGAACACCAGUGGCGAAGGCGGCUCACUGGACCGGAACUGACGCUGAGGCGCGAAAGCGUGGGGAGCAAACGGG
This 253-nucleotide ribosomal RNA is filed under the name uncultured bacterium. RNAcentral's name for it is "partial 16S ribosomal RNA". It matches the Rfam family "Bacterial small subunit ribosomal RNA", at positions 524 to 776 of the family's 1533-position model. The record is from RNAcentral.